Small nuclear RNA from Erinaceus europaeus (western European hedgehog), 112 nucleotides. The record is from Ensembl. Lineage: Eukaryota; Metazoa; Chordata; Mammalia; Eulipotyphla; Erinaceidae.
AUGUUUAUCCCUUCAAUAGCAUAUAUAUCAAAAUUGGAAUGGUACAGAGAAAACUAACAUGCAUCCUGCACAAGGAUGACACAUAAAUCUGUGUGAAGAGUUCCAUAGUAAA